CAGCAGCCGCGGUAAAACGAGGGGUGCAAGCGUUAUUCGGAUUGAUUGGGUGUAAAGGGUGUGCAGACGGCUUAUUAAGUCACUUGUUAAAUUCUUCGGCCUAACUGAAGGUCUGCAAGUGAUACUGAUGAGCUAGAGGGUGGAAGAGAGAAGUGGAAUUCUCGGAGUAGCGGUAAAAUGCGUAGAUCUCGAGAGGAACACCAAUGGCGAAGGCAGCUUCUUGGUCCAUUCCUGACGUUCAUACACGAAAGCGUGGGGAGCAAACAGGAUUAGAUACCCGCGUAGUCCCUGUCUCUUAUAC
This 301-nucleotide ribosomal RNA is filed under the name uncultured bacterium. RNAcentral's name for it is "partial 16S ribosomal RNA". It matches the Rfam family "Bacterial small subunit ribosomal RNA", at positions 509 to 807 of the family's 1533-position model. The record is from RNAcentral.